GAUGAACGCUGGCGGCGUGCCUAACACAUGCAAGUCGAGCGGCAGCGAGGGGUGCUUGCACCCUGUCGGCGAGCGGCGGACGGCUGAGUAACGCGUGGGAACGUGCCCCAAAGUGAGGAAUAACUGCCCGAAAGGGUAGCUAAUACCGCAUAUUAUCUUCGCAUCAAAGGAUUUAUCCGCUUUGGGAGCGGCUCGCGUCGGAUUAGGUAGUUGGUGAGGUAAUGGCUCACCAAGCCGACGAUCCGUAGCUGGUCUGAGAGGAUGACCAGCCAGACUGGAACUGAGACACGGUCCAGACUCCUACGGGAGGCAGCAGUGAGGAAUAUUGCACAAUGGGCGAAAGCCUGAUGGAGCAACGCCGCGUGAAGGACGAAGGCCUUCGGGUUGUAAACUGCUUUUAUAAGUGAGGAAUAUGACGGUAACUGAUGAAUAAGGAUCGGCUAACUACGUG
RNAcentral lists this ribosomal RNA (451 nucleotides) under uncultured bacterium. RNAcentral's name for it is "partial 16S ribosomal RNA". It matches the Rfam family "Bacterial small subunit ribosomal RNA", at positions 28 to 507 of the family's 1533-position model. The record is from RNAcentral.